Long non-coding RNA from Cuculus canorus (common cuckoo), 849 nucleotides. RefSeq lists it as uncharacterized. NCBI's taxonomy places the organism in Eukaryota, Metazoa, Chordata, Aves, Cuculiformes, Cuculidae. The record is from RefSeq and is a predicted model, not a curated record. The transcript is spliced from 4 exons.
ACUAGCUAAGGAGAGACAGGAAUAAGAAAGUAAUUUAUUUUUUCAUGCAAAUCUCUGCUAGGAACUAUUAGACUUUUGAAAAUGUAUUCCAAAGAAAUGCAGAGAUAGAUUCCCGACCGGCAUUAAUCAGUGCUGAUUAAGUCAUGGAGCUACCAAGUUUCUGCCUGGUAUAGGAAGGGCUGCUGCCAGCAAAUAAGUAAAUAUCCUGUAAAGACUUCAAAACCACGCUAGGUGACUUAAGAACUUAAGCAGCAUUUUCACGAGUGCCAGAGCUGGUUAGAUGACAAGUACCAUUCUUAGCUAUAGGUUAAAUAUACUGCUAAGGAGCGACUGAGUAGCACCUUGCUCUGGGUACCCUGGAUGACCCAGUAAGAAGCUGUGCUUCACUUCACCUGUCUCUGGAUCAACAAAGAAACCUCCAUUAUGAGCCCUACUUGGAUCAUACAAUUUGCUGGGGCAACGUCGGAUUAUAUAGAGGGAAGAAUAAGCCUACAUCUGCAUUGAUUUCUAACAGUGAGAAAUUUCAUCAGCCACUUCCAUGAGCAGCCUGAGAUGCAUCUGAAGACGUGCUGAGGCUCACUGACCUCAUGGCAUUGUGUCCCAAUGCCACGCUGACUGCCUGUCUGCAGUUUGCAUCUAUAUGAAUUUACUGAAGAUCAGCCUAUCUAUCCAAAGAACAUGGAAGAAACCAGUUGUUCAUGGUCAUUUCCGUUUCCCCUUUUCCAAGAUCUGAUUUAUUGUUUGGGUCAGCCUUAGGACAGUUUCCCUUUUCUAUGCCACUGUAUGCUAAGAUUCUCAUACAGAUAUCUCCACUCCAAAUUGGAUGUUUUCUCAUCAUUGCUUCAGAAA